Molecule: long non-coding RNA, 843 nt
Organism: Magallana angulata
Lineage: Eukaryota; Metazoa; Mollusca; Bivalvia; Ostreida; Ostreidae
Exons: 2
Source: RefSeq, a predicted model, not a curated record
GUUUUAAAACAUUUGCCAACUAUUGAAUGUUAUAAUUGGUAGUUUGAGAGUAUUGACACUAACUGGCAUUUAAACUUUUCGUAUUCUCUUGAACACGGACUUCGAUUUUCAUGAAACGCAUUUCCAAAUUCAAAACAGAUAUUUAUUAAGAACCUGAUCUCAUGGCCAAUAAUACACCUAGAUCUAUGUUGAAUGUCUCAUUCAGUGCAGAAUAUUCUGGGGACGAAUUUACACCGAGAUCUCCGUGGAGCUACAUUCGAUCGCAUCAUCCAAGUGGCUUUUCCAGAGAACACGGUCAAGACCACAAAUCUAGAAGUACAGAACGCAACCAAUUCCGUUCACCGCGGUCCAAAACAAAUUCACCUAAGAGACAAAACAGUCGAAAUUUGCGAAAUACAAGAUCUAGAAACGGCACAAAACGUGCCAUAUCAUCCUCCCAACCCCCGACUACCAGGCGUAGUUUUGAUCCUACGGACAACAGACAUCUUUGGACAAUGUGGAGAAUAUCUAUUACAGGAAAAAUUGUCUCGGAUAUUAUGAGCAGGAAAGAAAGGAAUAUUAGCACAAAAUAUGUACGAACACUAAGGCGGCCCCCAGCAGGCCUUGCAAAAAGUAUUUACAUAUCGAACCAAACCCGACUAGCAGCUUAUUCUUUGAUGAAUUGUGGAGACUGUCCGGAUAACACAAUCCUAACGCGAGAUUUUAUAUUUUUUGGUAUUCCUAGAGUUAUUUUAAAUAAAGGGGUCCAUUAAUUUCUUUUUUAAAAAGCUUAAUGUUCAAAGCUGUACCACUGACAACGAAGCAAAUUUUGAAUAAUAAAUUAUAAUUGAGUUUUAUGAUAAA